RNAcentral lists this ribosomal RNA (483 nucleotides) under uncultured bacterium. RNAcentral describes it as "partial 16S ribosomal RNA". It matches the Rfam family "Bacterial small subunit ribosomal RNA", at positions 28 to 507 of the family's 1533-position model. The record is from RNAcentral.
GACGAACGCUGGCGGCGUGCUUAACACAUGCAAGUCGAACGCUGAAGCUCAGCUUUUGUUGGGUGGAUGAGUGGCGAACGGGUGAGUAACACGUGAGUAACCUGCCCCCUUCUUUGGGAUAACGCCCGGAAACGGGUGCUAAUACUGGAUAUUCACUGGUCUUCGCAUGGGGGUUGGUGGAAAGGGUUUUUCUGGUGGGGGAUGGGCUCGCGGCCUAUCAGCUUGUUGGUGGGGUGAUGGCCUACCAAGGCUUUGACGGGUAGCCGGCCUGAGAGGGUGACCGGUCACAUUGGGACUGAGAUACGGCCCAGACUCCUACGGGGGGCAGCAGUGGGGAAUAUUGCACAAUGGGCGCAAGCCUGAUGCAGCGUCGCCGCGUGAGGGAUGGGGGCCUUCGGGUUGUGAACCUCUUUCGCUCAUGGUCAAGCCGCAACAAUGGUUGUGGUGAGGGUAGUGGGUAAAGAAGCGCCGGCUAACUACGUG